RNAcentral lists this long non-coding RNA (287 nucleotides) under Gossypium barbadense (sea-island cotton). RNAcentral's name for it is "long non-coding RNA (GBAR_LNC016532)". The record is from RNAcentral. Lineage: Eukaryota; Viridiplantae; Streptophyta; Magnoliopsida; Malvales; Malvaceae.
CUGACUUCGAUUGUCGUAAUUAUUUCUGUGUAACUCAAUUUUUUACACUCCUUGGCCUAUUCAUCCAUACUUAUUACAAAAUUUAUGACUACUGGGAUCUUGAGCGAUGCAAAUCACCUCUUUUUCCUUCAUAUUUCGCUACUCAAGAUCACCAUUCUUUUUGAAUUUACAUAUAUAAUAUAAUUUAUGAAGAGGAGGGAAAAACAAACCUUACUUAAAAGAGAGCAGAAGAUUUAGAUUUUUAGUCUGCGCUACCGACCAAAGAGAUUUCCAAAAAUACUGCUGCA